Molecule: long non-coding RNA, 275 nt
Organism: Hirundo rustica (Barn swallow)
Lineage: Eukaryota; Metazoa; Chordata; Aves; Passeriformes; Hirundinidae
Exons: 3
Source: RefSeq, a predicted model, not a curated record
GAGCUGCCUGCAUCUGUGGUGAAGUGUGCACAGAGAAAUUCCCAGUGGCUGCACAGUAAUGAACGCCUAGGUCUUGGCUUGUAGUUUUAUUAAUGGAAACAGUUCAAAUGAAAUUACAGCUAUUAUGCUGCAUUAAUAUUCUGGCUUUGUGGAUGGGUAUAUUGCAACGUAUUCAGCACAAGACUAACUUCUGCCAUUCCUUUUUUAACUUGGAUUGCCACAUGCACAAAAAUAAGAUAGACUUGGAAGAUUUUAACACAUGUAAUACAUAUAAG